RNAcentral lists this unclassified non-coding RNA (889 nucleotides) under Octopus sinensis (East Asian common octopus). RNAcentral's name for it is "mitotic spindle assembly checkpoint protein MAD2B, transcript variant X4". The record is from RNAcentral. Lineage: Eukaryota; Metazoa; Mollusca; Cephalopoda; Octopoda; Octopodidae.
CUCCCGAUUUUUAAACAACUUUAGUGAUGGCGCUGUAAUUGAAAAUAAAGUUGCUGUGAAGUUAACCAACAUUAAUUAUUCUAACAUUUGGUCGUGUCUCGACAGGACACGAUUGAAGUAUGAGUUCAGAAGCGACUCUAAGUUCCACGAGCAAGGUUCAAGUAGCUGCAGAUAUUGUCACAGAGUUCCUGGAAGUUGCCAUCCAUUGCAUUCUUCAUCACCGAGAUCUUUACCCUGCAGGAGUGUUUGAGGCACGAAAGAAGUACAAUGUCCCCGUGCAGAUGUGUCUUCAUCCCGAUGUCAUCCAGUACAUUACCAAUAUUCUUGAAAGUAUCAAAUUACUGUUGGAAGCACAGGAAGUUAACCGAGUAGGACUGGUCAUUCUUGACUCCAAACAGACCCCGAUAGAACGUUUUGUCUUUGAAAUUGCUUAUCCUUCCCUCUUAUCAGGCUUUGGUUGUGAUAUUCUACUGACUGAGUUGGAGCAAUCCCUAAGGGCAUUCCUGUUGAAGAUAAAUGUCUGUGAUGCACUGCUGAAACCUCUUCCUCAAGAUGUCACCUGGGUUAUCCAUAUUCAUACCUGUGACUCUGCCAUGUUAAGACUGGAAGAAAAACAGAUUCUAAAGAAUUUUCCUUGGAUUGAAGCUGAAGAAAAACAGAAAAACAUGUCCAAUUCGUCGCUGGUGCCAAUGAAGACUGUGAAUUCAGAUAUUGUGAAGAUGCAAUUAUUUGUUGAGGAGAGUUCUUUGAAACGGAAGCUGGACACUUGAUGAAUAAAUACCAAGAGAAUUGUAUUUUCUCUUCAAACAGAAGAAAGACCAUUUGCCGAUGUGUGUGUGUGUGUGUGUGUGUGUGUGUGUGCGUGUAUGUUUGUGUGUCUGUGUUUGUC